UACGGAGGGUGCGAGCGUUAUCCGGAAUCACUGGGUUUAAAGGGUGCGUAGGCGGUGCAUUAAGUCAGGGGUGAAAUCCCCCCGCUCAACGGGGGCACUGCCCUUGAUACUGGUGCGCUAGGAUUGGCGCGAGGCAGGCGGAACGUGGCAUGUAGCGGUGAAAUGCUUAGAUAUGCCACAGAACACCGAUUGCGUAGGCAGCCUGCCAGAGCCAUAUCGACGCUGAGGCACGAAAGCGUGGGGAGCAAACAGG
RNAcentral lists this ribosomal RNA (253 nucleotides) under uncultured bacterium. RNAcentral describes it as "partial 16S ribosomal RNA". It matches the Rfam family "Bacterial small subunit ribosomal RNA", at positions 524 to 776 of the family's 1533-position model. The record is from RNAcentral.